CCUAAGGUUUUUUUCCCUUUUCCAUUCUAUUAUAUGGAUAUUUUAUACCUUCUCUUCACUCUUCAAAAUCUCUGAUCCUCAUUUUUAGCCAUUGACUUUAUUUUCUAUUUCUGGAAAUAAAUAGAAGUAAAUGGAAAAUAAUUUUCAAAUUUCCAUUAGCACUUCACUUAUCUCCUCUGACUUCAUAAUAUGUGUAUCAGUUAGCUAAUGCUGCAUAACAAAUGACUUCAAAACUUAAAGCAAUAAUCAUUUAAUAUUUUUUUCAAGCCUACAGUCCAAUGGAGAAGACUUGAUUAUUAGGACCUAGCUGUGCUUAUCUCAUCUGGGCUCCCUCAUGUGUAUGUGGUGAACUUGUGGUUAGCUGUGGUGACUUUGGCAUGAAUGACUCAGCUCUCUGCAUCUCUCACAUCCCUUGAGCAUGCUAGUCCAGGUGGGGAGUAAAUGGACAAGUCUGGAUGUGUGUGCUCAAGGCUCAACAAAUAUUCCUUUGAUCAGUUCAAAGAAGAGUGGCCGAGAGACUCUGGUUGACUCUACCUGCAGAGGUGAGAGAAGGCUGGCUGCACAGAGGACAGGAUGCCUGAGAAGGGUCUCAGAAGAGGCACUUCCUUCUUUUUUUUUUAAAAGGGAUCUACAGUCAAACAAAGGAGAACAAUCCAAUAAUGAGAACAUCCUUGAGGAUCACAGAGUCCAGAGUCCCCAGAGAGAGGGAGAGCAAUCAUGUCUUCUAGAUGGCGAGUUACUUACACAUAUGUCUAGUAGCCUGAAAAACGAGAGAGACCAGAAUAUAGGUGUGUGCCCAUGGUAUGUCAUCUGAAAGGACUGGGUAAGCACGUGGGACGGAUGCUGAGCUGGGAAUUCAUAGAGGGUGUCCAGACUCCAGAGCCAAGAAGUGAGCUGGGCUCCCACCCCAUUCUGAAGUUGCCAAAGAGUGAACUUGACCUGUAUUCUGCUGUAAGUUGCUUCUUUAAGGUUCUCCUGGAGCUUUCUUAGUAUGUGAAUGGAAUCUGGGCUGGUUUCCAUAGUUUUUCUGGUUAUUUUCAGGUAUUACAACGUCCCCCCAUGGAAUCUCUCAUACAUCAUAGAGCUUCCCUCCACCCUUCAGCCUUUUUAGUGCCUCCAACUAGAACAUCUGCAGCAGGGAAGAGGCCAGGAUGGGGUUCUUCACCAGUUCAUUAGAGUUUUCCUCAUCUCCUCCUCACUCAUUCACUGUGUGGCCUCUGAUACUCCAGGGAUAGAGCAGAAAGAAAGGAGAGGUAAUGGACAGAGACCUGGGAAUACUGUUUUAUGCAAUGUGUGUGCGUGUGCGUGUGUGUGCGUGUGCAUGUGUGUGUGCGUGUGUGUGCACGCGCGUGUGUGUGCGUGUGUGCGUGCAUGUGUGUGCGCAUGUGUGCGUGCAUGUGUGUGUGCACGUGUGUGCGUGCAUGUGUGUGUGCGCGCGUGUGUGUGUGUGUUUUGCAGAUAUUUAUAAGCUGAUCCCUCCUUCCUGGAACUCCUCGAAGGCUCCCCAGGUGAGCACAUCCCUAUAUAGGAAACUCUAAUUCAUUGGCUGCCUCCCCUGGCUGCUUUGUUUUUCAGGUGCUCUCACAUUCAUUCCAACCGCCACCUUUUACCCUCAGACACUCUCAGGAUUGAAUCAGAUAGCCCUUUGCAAAUGCCCCAAAUUUCAAGGAUCACACAUCCAUCUUGGUAAUUAGUUCCCUUGAAGUUCCACACUUAGUUUAAGGUGAAAAAGCAGAAGGCCGUCCUCUCCCUGUGACAAUCAAGAGUUUUCUGCACACCUGCAGCCCUCUCUGAAGCAGCCCUUCUAGUCCCCAGGCUCUGAUGUCCCCUAUUCAUAUGGUGCGCUAACUCUGCUAUGACCAUCACUGGUGGGCCAUUCCAUUUGCAAGACCAGCACUUCUGUGGUGUUUUAGAAUCCAUUUUUUUUUUUUGUUCUUAGCAUUUGUAACUUCUACUGAAUCUUUAAGACCACAAGAAUAGCCACAUUUUAUACCCUACUGUAAACAAAUUUCCAGUAGAAGUCAGAUAAGUGCAUAUAUAAGAAUUCAUAUACAUGUUGGCUUUAAUCCUGUUUCACUUAUGCAGAUUUUACCUCCACCCAUUAACAGAACACCAUAAGUUUAUUAUCAAAUUUUGAGAGGUAUUACCUAGAAAUCUAUACCAGCACAAGUUUAUGGUAUUAUUUGCCUGGGAAAUAAGAAAAUAGCAGUUCAGCAGCUGAGAGGCAGUGUGUAGCACAGAGACUAAAUGCAUCGAUUACUCAUCCCUCCCUUUGUUGAAUUUUAUCACUGUAAGCCUAUAUCUAUAGAUCAAGAAAAUCCAUUCAAUCUUUCUGUGUUUCAUUUUUCAUCAAGUGGUAAUAAUAAUAAUUGUACCUACCUUACAGGUGGUUAUAAAGAUUAAUGAAGAUAAUAUAUAUGUGCUACUUAGAACACUGUAAUUAAAAAAAUGCUCAAUAAAUGUUAGCUAUUACUGGCUUAGGAUUUGGGUAAAACACACACAGAGGCACACACACACGAAGUAAAACCAUUUCUGUACAGUUGGUGAUUAAUUUUAGUCAAUCAGUUAAGCAACUGUUUACAAGCUUCUCUGUGCCAGAGUAUUAUGCCAAGCACCGGAAUACUGGGAAGUGUGGGUGUGGGUGGAGAAAAGCAAUUAAGCAAGACUCACUAGUGUAGUAGGAGAAACAACUAUCAGGAGAGUCUCUUGAGAUAUUUAAGGUCCAAGGAGACUCAUAUUGUGAAAUAGUGCAAAUCCAAACAGAAUGAGGUGGUGUUCACCCCUCAAGUUGGCAAAAAUGUUAAAGUUUGAGAAUACCCAUUGCUGGAAAUGAUGUGAGGAAAACACACAUUCUCCAUAUAUAAUCAAUAAAGGUAGACAUUUAUCAACUUUUAUGGAAGGUAUUGGAAAACAUCUACAAAGGGUGAGAUACGUGUGUAAGGAUGAUGGCUGCACUGUAGUCAAGUAUAGGCCGAGGUACACAUCUGGAAUAGCAUGACACAAUGAGAUUGGAGCGCAGGUGCACAAUCCCAUGCAUUUUAUAAUCACAGUUAUGUAGCCAUAACAUGGGAGGGCUCAUCACCUGGCUCUGAGCCAGUAUUGUGUGUGACAUGCAUAAAUGCAGCACUGACAGUGUGAGUGAGCUGCUAAAUAAAGCCAUGUCCCCAUCUACCUGUGAUCUCUUGAGUGUUCUUUCAGCUGCCCACCCCUUGCCCGCUGACUCCCCUGGAACCUAACAAUGUG
This is a long non-coding RNA of Pan troglodytes (chimpanzee), 3243 nucleotides long. The record is from Ensembl. Lineage: Eukaryota; Metazoa; Chordata; Mammalia; Primates; Hominidae.